CGGGGUGCACGAGGCGUCGAAUACUUUGCAAUACUCGAAAGCUUGAUCGGGCUGUCCCGAGUGCCAUCCGCUGAGGAAGGCUUUUACCCAGUCUAUAACGCUGGGGGAAUAAGGAGAGGGCAAGUCUGGUGUCAGCCGCCGCGGUAAUACCAGCUCUCCCAGUGGUGUGGAUGUUUAUUGGGCCUAACGCAUCCGUACCUGGCUAAGUUCGUCCCCUGUUAAGUCCACCGAAUUAAUCUUUGGAUUGCGGGGGAUACUGCUUGGCUAGGGGACCAGAGAGGCACACGGUAUUUCCGGGGUAGGGGUGAAAUCCUAUAUAUCCCGGGAAGACCUCCAGUGGCGAAUGCUGUCUGCUAUAACGCACCCUACGGUCAGGGAUGAAUCCUGGGGGAUCGAACAGGAUUAAAUACCCCGGUAGUCGCAGCUGUACAUGAUCACUCACUAUGUGUUUGAACGGUCACGAGCGGUUCUAAUGCCGCAUGAAAGCUGUUAACUCUGCCACCAGGUGAUUACCAUUUCUGUAU
This 524-nucleotide ribosomal RNA is filed under the name uncultured archaeon. Its description in RNAcentral is "bacterial SSU rRNA". It matches the Rfam family "Archaeal small subunit ribosomal RNA", at positions 326 to 849 of the family's 1478-position model. The record is from RNAcentral.